Molecule: long non-coding RNA, 337 nt
Organism: Stegodyphus dumicola
Lineage: Eukaryota; Metazoa; Arthropoda; Arachnida; Araneae; Eresidae
Source: RefSeq, a predicted model, not a curated record
GUGUUAAUAAAGUUUUGUGCCGUUAAAAUGGCUGUUUUAUGCAACGCACACAAUACGAUACGUCUACGGUAGGAAGUAAGUACAUAUCCAGAAGCUACACGCCCAAGAAAAAAGAAGGAUAUGACAGUGGUGUCAGAACAGGAGGAUAUGUCAUUCUGCAAAGUUCACGGAUAAAUGCGGAAGUCUCGGGUCUUCAGAAAGUAGGAGAUGGAAAUGGCAAUUUCAGGACUCAAAAAGUGGAAUUUUGUAACUGAACAAGAAAUUAUGCAUCUGAAUUAAAUUAAAGAGGAAUAAUUUAUGUUGAAAGAAAUGUUUAAUAAAGCAAAAUAAAUGCUAA